This is a long non-coding RNA of Ailuropoda melanoleuca (giant panda), 2515 nucleotides long. RefSeq lists it as uncharacterized. The transcript is spliced from 3 exons. Lineage: Eukaryota; Metazoa; Chordata; Mammalia; Carnivora; Ursidae. The record is from RefSeq and is a predicted model, not a curated record.
GUUGCUCUGAAAGCAGAAAACGAAGUCUGGGCUGCCUGCCAGGGAGGAGCAGACAUCUCCAGCGGGUCCUCAAAAGCUCCGGCGGCUGGUGGGAGCGGGCUUCGCAUAGCCCAUCCCUUCUCGUGCCCCGUGGGGAGGAAGCGCCCAGGCAGGACACGCCCAUCUUCAUUCCUCAGCAUGGCAGUGAAUCUUCCUCAUCCUGCGAGAACAGCUCUGCGAGCGCUAGGAGCAGGUUUCCUCCCCACACGGCCUCCAGUGCCUACAAGAGCGCCCGACGUGGAGAAGACGCACAACGAACGUUGUUGAAGAAAUAGAUGGUGGAGAAAGGAAAGGUUCUCGGUGACGUGUUUCAAAUACGCAGGCACGUAUAGUCACCUGGCUUUUCAGUCACUUGAAGGCAAACCCCUUCACAGUUGGAUGGAGAUGGUCCUGCUUUUCUAUGUCUUCUGAGUGGGAAAAACUGGGUGAAUUUUCUGGUCUAGUGAUUUCUCGUCAUGAAUUCGUGUCGAAUGGAUUUUCCCGCAGCUGAGUGAGGGACCAGAGCUGAGGAUGUCCUACCAGAAUGGAGGUCCGUGUGUCAUCUUAGUCAUUUUAAGUGUGUGCAUUUUUCCCUGAGAAAGUGGAGGUGUUCUCACGACAUAAGAUUACACAAUUGUUAACAGACGUAUCCCUGUGUAUAUUUCCUUUCCAGCACCGCGUAGGUCACAGCAAACACAUGUUAGUUAAACCGUUACUCUGCUAUGGGUGAUGAUUUCGGCGCUUGUCCAUGAGCAGCACGAGCCUUUGGACUAAGCCCUUCCUGCAGUUCAGAGCCAUGCGAUUUUAAAAAUCCUUGAUACCUAAUAAAAGGUGUAUAUUGUAAAAAUCAAACCACAUGAUCAAGGUAAUACAAAGGAAGCAGGUGUUUUUGAAGUCAGGUGUACAUACAUGAUGUGUCUCCCCCUUUCUUAGACUGAGAGCCCCAUUACAUUUGGGGUGCAAUGCUCCCAGUUCAAAAUCUGUUCCCCAGCUUCUCCUGAAGCUUCUACGUACGUCUAAAGUCCAGCCUGUGAGACUCAAGCAGAAGGUUCACUUAUAAAGCAGCUGACUUGUUUUUGCAUGUCCCCUUCAUCAUUCUUGUUGGAAAAGCACUUGUGAUGGCUGGAGCUGCAGAAGCCACAUUGGACCAUGAAGAAAACCUGAAGACAGAAGACAUGGGCUAGGGGUGGCAAAGCUUAAUGACAGAAGGAGCUGUGAUCCUGGGGAAAUUCAUGAAAACACCAUACCUGCCUUGAAAUGUCCACAUGGGGUCUCGUUUUACCUGAGAGAAUAAACCCUUCUUUGUUUGAACCAUUGGUGUUUUGGCUUUUCUGUUCUAGGGCGCUAAAUGUAAUUCCUACACGUGCUAGGUAUUGAGGGCACACUGGGAUUGAAUAUCAGUCACUGACUAUGAUUCAGAAGAUAUAUUUUAAUUCCCUGAGUAACGUUAUGCAUUCAUAAAGCCGAUACACAAGGUAAACUUUGAGAAAUAAUGCAAGUACACAGUAUGAUCAUUCAAAGCCUGUGAGCUCACUUAGACUGGUGCUGCUUCAAUAGUACACAAGACAAAAGCGUUCAUCCCAAAUAUUCAGCAAACACUUGUUGCACCUACUAUGUACCAUGCAUUGCAUUAGCUUGACCGAAGCACGGUGGAAAGGGCUGGCACUUGGAAUAAGUGCCUUGGAUUCGAACUCAUUGUUUAUUAGCUGUGUGACCCUGACAGGUUGUGCAAUCUCUCUGAACUUCCGUGCUCUGGAUCAUACUGGGCCCUUGGGGGUUUGUGAAUCCAGAGACGUGAGUAACCAGCUCUGCUUAGGUGAGUUGAAAAUAGGUUGUGCUGUCAGUAAGACUGCUCACCCAAUAUUUCUGGAUUUCCUCCUUCUGAUACAUGGUGGUGCUGCUUGCCAUCCACUUUGAAGACGUGGCCAUAGCAUGCACUUUGGUCAAUGGCAAAUGAACAGAAGUGACCUGUCUCACUUCUGACUGCUAAUUUUAAGAAGCGGCAGACAAUCUGCAUUGUUUCCUCUGUGCGGUGAUGCUGGGAGCCAAUCCGUGUGCCUCCAUCCACCCUGGUCUCCUGUGACUACCGUAAGCUAGACCUCGUUCCUCCCUCCGCCCACUCGCAUUGGAGAUGUUACUCUGAGAAGUAAGCCUCUGAGAUUUGGGGCUUGCUUAUCACCACAGCAUCACCCAGCUUAUCCUGACUGAUCCAGGUCAUGCUAUCUGUCUUGAAGCCUGAGUACCAGUUUCCAGGGAAAGAAGGAGCUCUCAAUGCUCUAGGGUAAAGAGAAUAGAAUCUUAAAAGGAUUCAUGUUGGUAAUGAGUUCUGCGUAACUGUUAGCAGAGUGCAGAAGCUGAGUCUGGUUAGGUGGGGGGGGGCAGAGUGUGUCAUCUAAGGCACCUUUCUCGAGGCCAGGUCCCCAAAAGUGAUUCAAACUCAGACACCGUUCAGCCAGAUGUCUGGAUUCAAUAAAUUUAGAGCUCAAAAAUGAAUCUG